Long non-coding RNA from Canis lupus familiaris (dog), 679 nucleotides. RefSeq lists it as uncharacterized. The record is from RefSeq and is a predicted model, not a curated record. The transcript is spliced from 3 exons. NCBI's taxonomy places the organism in Eukaryota, Metazoa, Chordata, Mammalia, Carnivora, Canidae.
GGCAGGGGCUGUCAGGGCCAUGGUUCCUGCCGUGGAUGGGGUCCAGCUGUCAGGCAGGGGUAGUCCAGGCAGUUGGUGGUCUCUGGUGGGCCAAGUGGCUCCCCCUUGGGGCCUCAGUGUCGCCCCUGCCCCAGGCAGUGCUGCUGGGCUGGCCCAGAGACUCCAGGCGGGGCAGCCCAGCGGAGGUGGAAGCACCUGAGAACCGACCCCAGCCCAUCUGGCGGCCCUAGGCUGGGCUUUGCAGCAGAGAGAGCGAGAGAGAGAGCACAAGCAAAGGGAGAGGGAGGAGCGGGAGCUCCAUGUGGGACUUGAUCCCAGGACCCUGAGAUCAUGAUCUGAGCCUGAGGCAGACGCUUCACGAUGGAGCCCCAGGAGCCCCUAGAACACACCAUUUUGGGAGACAGCAUCCUUCAGAGGCAGCAGAGCCGGUUGUGUCCACCUGGGCCCCUUUCCCAGACUUCCUGAGCCACCCGACUUCUGGCAGUCCCUCAACCUUCCAAAAAUAGUCCAACCUCAGGACCUUUGCAUCUGCUGUUCUUGCUAAGGAUGCUUCUCCCUGCUCAGGAGCGGCCCUGAGCCACCCAGAGCCGGCUCAGCUCUGGUGUCAAUGGUAGGAGAGCCCCUGGGCGGUUACCAGGGCAGGGCGCUGCGCCGGGGUGAGCGGGGUCGGAGCGAGAGG